This 330-nucleotide long non-coding RNA is filed under the name Mytilus galloprovincialis (Mediterranean mussel). The record is from RNAcentral. Lineage: Eukaryota; Metazoa; Mollusca; Bivalvia; Mytilida; Mytilidae.
GCUAAUGUACAAUCUGUUAUGUUCUGAAGUAACUUGUAGUUGUAUAUUUUAUACUGCUUAUGUACAAUCUGUUAUGUUCUGAAGUAACUUGUAGUUGUGUGUUUUAUACUGCUUGUGUACAAUCUGUUAUGUUCUGAAGUAACAUGAAGUCAUGUGUUUUAUUCUGCUAAUGUAUAAUCUGUUAUGUUCUGAAGUAACUUGCAGUUGUAUAUUUUAUACUGAUUAUGUACAAUUUGUUCUGUUCUGAAGUAACUUGUAGUUGUGUGUUUUAUACUCCUGGUGUAAAAUCUGUUAUGUUCUGAAGUAACAUGUAGUUAUGUGUUUUAUUCU